CUGCAGCCAAUCAGGCCCCCUGUGCUCUUUUCUCUGUGGAGGCCUGGUGUGCAAUGGCUGCAAAAAGCAGCCUCCUCGGUAGUGCAUGCAGCCUACUGCUUGUACGGGUUGCCCUAAAGGACCUUGAAGACAGCC
This is a small nucleolar RNA of Hippopotamus amphibius kiboko, 135 nucleotides long. RefSeq annotates it as small nucleolar RNA SNORA70. The record is from RefSeq and is a predicted model, not a curated record. Lineage: Eukaryota; Metazoa; Chordata; Mammalia; Artiodactyla; Hippopotamidae. The transcript has a single exon.